AGAGUUUGAUCCUGGCUCAGGACGAACGCUGGCGGCGUGCCUAACACAUGCAAGUCGAACGAUAUUUGCCAAGUGACUUUUUCGGAAGAAGCGAGGCGAUGAAAGUGGCGAACGGGUGAGUAACGCGUGGGCAACCUGCCCCUGACUGGGGGAUAACACCGGGAAACCGGUGCUAAUACCGCAUAAUACGACCAUAAGGCAUCUUAAGGUCGGCAAAGGACGAAAGUCCGGUUUGGGGUGGGCCCGCGUCUGAUUAGUUAGUUGGCAGGGUAACGGCCUACCAAGACGAUGAUCAGUAGCCGAACUGAGAGGUUGAUCGGCCACAUUGGGACUGAGACACGGCCCAAACUCCUACGGGAGGCAGCAGUGGGGAAUAUUGCGCAAUGGAGGAAACUCUGACGCAGCAACGCCGCGUGAAGGAUGAAGGCCCUCGGGUUGUAAACUUCUUUGAUUGGGGAAGAAAGAAAUGACGGUACCCAAAUAACAAGCCACGGCUAACUACGUGCCAGCAGCCGCGGUAAUACGUAGGUGGCAAGCGUUGUCCGGAUUUACUGGGUGUAAAGGGCGUGUAGGCGGAUCUGCAAGUCGGAAGUGAAAUCCCCGGGCUUAACCCGGGAACUGCUUCUGAAACUGUAGAUCUUGAGUACUGGAGAGGAAAGUGGAAUUCCUAGUGUAGCGGUGAAAUGCGUAGAUAUUAGGGGGAACACCAGUGGCGAAGGCGACUUUCUGGACAGAGACUGACGCUGAGGCGCGAAAGCGUGGGGAGCAAACAGGAUUAGAUACCCUGGUAGUCCACGCUGUAAACGAUGGAUACUAGGUGUAGGGGGUGUCGACUCCCCCUGUGCCGUCGCUAACGCAAUAAGUAUCCCACCUGGGGAGUACGACCGCAAGGUUGAAACUCAAAGGAAUUGACGGGGGCCCGCACAAGCAGUGGAGUAUGUGGUUUAAUUCGAAGCAACGCGAAGAACCUUACCAGGGCUUGACAUACUGCUGACCGGUCAGGAGACUGACCUUUCCUUCGGGACGGCGGAUACAGGUGGUGCAUGGUUGUCGUCAGCUCGUGUCGUGAGAUGUUGGGUUAAGUCCCGCAACGAGCGCAACCCCUAUUGUUAGUUGCCAGCAUUAAGUUGGGCACUCUAGCGAGACUGCCGGUGAUAAAUCGGAGGAAGGUGGGGAUGACGUCAAAUCAUCAUGCCCCUUAUGUCCUGGGCUACACACGUACUACAAUGGCUGAUACAGCGCGAAGCAAUACCGCGAGGUGGAGCAAAUCGCCAAAAUCAGUCCCAGUUCAGAUUGCAGGCUGCGACUCGCCUGCAUGAAGUCGGAAUUGCUAGUAAUGGCAGGUCAGCAUACUGCCGUGAAUACGUUCCCGGGCCUUGUACACACCGCCCGUCACACCAUGAGAGUUUGUAACACCCGAAGUCAAUAGCAUAACCGUAAGGAGUGCGUUGCCGAAGGUGGGACAGAUGAUUGGGGUGAAGUCGUAACAAGGUAGCCGUAUCGGAAGGUGCGGCUGGAUCACCUCCUU
This 1528-nucleotide ribosomal RNA is filed under the name uncultured bacterium. RNAcentral describes it as "bacterial SSU rRNA". It matches the Rfam family "Bacterial small subunit ribosomal RNA". The record is from RNAcentral.